GGGGCAGGCCUNNNCAUGCAAGUCGAGCGGAAACGAGUUAACUGAACCUUCGGGGAACGUUAACGGCGUCGAGCGGCGGACGGGUGAGUAAUGCCUGGGAAAUUGCCCUGAUGUGGGGAUAACCAUUGGAAACGAUGGCUAAUACCGCAUAAUAGCUUCGGCUCAAAGAGGGGGACCUUCGGGCCUCUCGCGUCAGGAUAUGCCCAGGUGGGAUUAGCUAGUUGGUGAGGUAAUGGCUCACCAAGGCGACGAUCCCUAGCUGGUCUGAGAGGAUGAUCAGCCACACUGGAACUGAGACACGGUCCAGACUCCUACGGGAGGCAGCAGUGGGGAAUAUUGCACAAUGGGCGCAAGCCUGAUGCAGCCAUGCCGCGUGUAUGAAGAAGGCCUUCGGGUUGUAAAGUACUUUCAGCAGUGAGGAAGGUGGGUAUGUUAAUAGCAUACACAUUUGACGUUAGCUGCAGAAGAAGCACCGGCUAACUCCGUGCCAGCAGCCGCGGUAAUACGGAGGGUGCGAGCGUUAAUCGGAAUUACUGGGCGUAAAGCGCAUGCAGGUGGUUUGUUAAGUCAGAUGUGAAAGCCCGGGGCUCAACCUCGGAAUUGCAUUUGAAACUGGCAAACUAGAGUACUGUAGAGGGGGGUAGAAUUUCAGGUGUAGCGGUGAAAUGCGUAGAGAUCUGAAGGAAUACCGGUGGCGAAGGCGGCCCCCUGGACAGAUACUGACACUCAGAUGCGAAAGCGUGGGGGAGCAAACAGGGAUUAGAUACCCUGGUAGUCCACGCCGUAAACGAUGUCUACUUGGAGGUUGUGGCCUUGAGCCCGUGGCUUUCGGAGCUAACGCGUUAAGUANACCGCCUNNNGAGUACGGUCGCAAGGAUUAAAACUCAAAUGAAUUGACGGGGGCGCCNCCACAGNGGGUGGNAGCAUGUGGGUUUAAUUCGANGNCACCCGAAGAAACCUUACCCUACUCUUGAACAUC
Molecule: ribosomal RNA, 979 nt
Filed under: uncultured bacterium
Lineage: Bacteria
Description: bacterial SSU rRNA
Rfam family: Bacterial small subunit ribosomal RNA
Source: RNAcentral